CAGCUUUGACGUGACCAUUCCUUAAGGCCAAAGUCAUUUGUCUCUUUCUGUGAUAUAUUUAGCUGAAGUAAAUCCAUCGACAUGGCCAGUAGAGGCUGGGUUUUACGUCCCGUCACCAGAGUCCAGAAAACAAUGGCCACACCAAACUGGAUAUUCCGUGUUUCUAUUUUAUUUCUAGCAGGACAGCCGACUUUUAGCACGGUAA
This is a long non-coding RNA of Biomphalaria glabrata, 205 nucleotides long. RefSeq lists it as uncharacterized. The record is from RefSeq and is a predicted model, not a curated record. The transcript is spliced from 3 exons. NCBI's taxonomy places the organism in Eukaryota, Metazoa, Mollusca, Gastropoda, Planorbidae.